This 3186-nucleotide long non-coding RNA is filed under the name Mytilus galloprovincialis (Mediterranean mussel). Lineage: Eukaryota; Metazoa; Mollusca; Bivalvia; Mytilida; Mytilidae. The record is from RNAcentral.
GGGUUGAAAUAGUCAAAGGUUGUUUGAUAGGGAUGACAAAAAAAUCAUAGGCGGCAGGCGUACGCACAGACAAACAGCAUAGCUAGUGUACUUAUUAAGGCAAAAUGCAUAGCCUUCGCUGACUGUAUUACAGGCAACAUGCUUGGACAUGUAAAUUAUCCACAGACAAACUUCAUAAGAGGUCUGAUCACAACAAAAAACAUGGCAUUAAGGCCCUAACGAGCUGUUAACCUGUAUUCGCACAGGACAAAACCACUGCAUUAGGCCCUACGGCUGUUUAACUGUAUUCCACAGGAGAAACAUUGGCAUUAGGCUAGCGCUGUGUAACUGGUAUUCCAGCAGGAGCAAAACAUGAUAAGCCUACCAGCUGUUACUGUAUUCCAGGACAAAACGUUUUUGUUUUUUGUUGUUAAUGCAUUAGGCCUAGCAGGCUGUUAACUGUAUUCGCCAGGAAAAACAUGCAAUUAGGGCCUACGGCUAACGUAUUCCACAAGGACAAACAUCGCAUUGAGGCCUACAGCUGGUUUAACUGUAUUCCACAGGACAAAACAUGCAUUAGCCUCAGCUGUUAACUGAUUUCCACAGGACAAAACAUGCAUUAGGACCUCGACAGGACAAAACAUUCAUUAAGGCUACGGCUGUUAACUGUAUUCCACAGGACAAAACAUGCAUUAGGCCUACAGCUGUUAACUGUAUUCCACAGGACAAAACAUGCCUACAGGCUGUCUAACUGUUAUUUCCACAGGACAAAACAUGCAUUAGGCCUACAGCUGUUAACUGUAUUCCACAGGACAAAACAUGCAUUAAGCCUACAGCUGUUAACUGUAUUCCACAGGACAAAACAUGCAUUAGGCCUACGGCUGUUAACUGUAUUCCACAGGACAAAACAUGCAUUAGGCAUACAGCUGCUGUAUUUGAUCAGUUUUAUCUCUUUGACACAGGACAAAACAUGCAUUAGGCAUACGGCUGUUAACUGUGUUUGAUCAGUUUUGUCUCUUUGACACAGGACAAAACAUGCAUUAGGCAUACGGCUGUUUACUGUGUUUGAUCGGUUUUGUCUCUUUGACACAUUCCAUGUUUUAAUUCUCUAUUCUAUUUGUAUGUUAUCUACAGCUAGUGUCCUGUAGUAUAUGACAAUCUAUAACGUGAUAUAUGAUAGCAGUUAAACAGAAACAUCAUCAAAAUAGUUCCUUGUUAUAGUAAUAUACUUUUAUAUUUAGUUACUUCAGUACAAGGCAUAGUUUAUAUGAAAAUCUUUUAAAAACAAGAACGUGUCCCCAGUACACAGAUGCCCCACUCCCACUAUAAUUUUCAAUGUUCAGUGGACCAUGAAAUUGGUGUAAAACUGGUGUAAUUUGGCAUUAAAUUAGAAAGAUCAUAUCAAAGGGAACAUAUGUACUAAGUUUCAGGUUGAUAUAUAUAUAUAUAUAUAUAUGACUUUUACUUCAUCAAAAACUACCUUAACCAAAAACUUCAACCUGAAGUAGGACAGACGAACGGACGAACGCAGAGACCAGAAAACCUAAUGCCCCUUUACUCUGGUAGGUGGGGCCUAACAAUUGUGACUUUGCAAAGUAACUUAAACACGAAAAAUAGCACGUCUUUUUUGAGAUUUGCAUUUUCUAUACCCUCUAUGACAACUCUGUAUUUUGUUCUGUGCAAUUGAGCAAUUCUUUGGCAUAGAAAAUAUAUAUUUUUAUUUGGAUAAAGUAAAGAGUAGUCAAGGGUCUUGUUCAAUAACAAAUGAUAUAUAAGAAAGAAAAUAUAAAUAUUUCAACAGAAGCUUCAUGCAUUGAAACUAAACAUUAAGACAGGGUUGUUCUCCGUGCUUUGAAACUAAACAUUAAGACAGGGUUGUUCUCCGUGCAUUGAAACAAAACAUAAUAUAUAAGACAGGGUUUUUCUCUGUGCAUUUAAACUAAAGAAUGGCAAAAUCUUGGAAGACCCCACUUAUAUCUGGAGGUUUGAAUUAAUUUAGAUUGUUUAACAUUAUGAUCGAGUUGAAGAACAACCAUGUUAUUAGCAGCUGGACAUCACAUGUUCCUGGUUUUAUGAUUUAAGUCAAAAAUGCUUUAGGGGCCAGCUGAAGGACGCCUCCGGGUGCGGGAAUUUUUCGCUACAUUGAAGACCUGUUGGUGACCUUCUGCUGUUGUUUUUUUCUAUGGUCGGGUUGUUGUCUCUUUGGCACAUUCCCCAUUUCCAUUCUCAAUUUUACUGUAAAAAUUUGUUAAGGUUGUAGACAUGGUAGAGUAUUAUCAUAACUAGAUAUCAAUAUGAUAUAAAUAUUUUUGAAAAAUUCUUUUAAAAAUUCUUUGGCAAAAACAGGCAUUCUGUAAAAGAAAUAAACUAUAAAUAAACUAUUUAUCAACCAACCCUAGCAUUUAUACAUAUUACCAUUCUGUAAAUAAUAAACUAUAAAUCUAUAAAUAAACUAUUCAUCAACCAAAUAUUAAAGUAUGUGAAGUAAUAAGAAGUGAAUUUUGAAAAAAAUAAUAAUUCCAAAAUUGUAUAUCUUUUCCCUUAUUGAUGAACUUAGGCUAGGUUUAAAAAUGUGUGUACGAUGUUUGCAUCUCCUCCCUCCCCCCCUACAAUGAAGGGUACACAAUUGUUUUGCCCCAUAACACCAUUUUUUUUCAUAAAAGACUUCAAUUAAUACAUAAAAGGUCUUAUAAUCAAAAUUCAAGCAGAUUGUCAAUUUUGUUUCUUUCGAUUUCAGACCCAAAUAAUACAAACCAGUGCCAAUAUAACAUGUAUAAGGUAAAAGUCUGAUGCAGCUUUCCCACCAUUUUUUAAAACUUAAAUACCUUCAGCUGGGAAAGGAGUUUCACAACCUGUCAUUAUUUUUAGCUUAAAUUUCUCCUUUAUUAAUUAAUGCUCUAAAGUAUCAAUGUCUAAUUCUUGAUGUUUUUAAUUUCACCGAAAGACAUCAAUAAUUAGAAGAACAAUUAACAAGCUAUUAUUUGAACUUGGAAUUAUUUUUAAUUAUGGAAUUUGCAUUAUUUCUUGUGCUUGAAAUUUUUAAUGCAUUCCAUGUUUAUUCUUUAUUAUAAUGUUCUGUGCUGUGCACAACACUUUCUAUAACAAAGAAGAUAGCACAUUUUCAAUAGAAUGUACUGUGCCGCGCACAACACUAUAAUCCAUACAAAAUACAUUGUGAGGAAAGUGUUAUGCACUGCUCAUAACAGA